AUUGAACGCUGGCGGCAGGCCUAACACAUGCAAGUCGAGCGGAUGAAGGGAGCUUGCUCCUGGUUUCAGCGGCGGACGGGUGAGUAAUGCCUAGGAAUCUGCCUGGUAGUGGGGGAUAACGUCUGGAAACGGGCGCUAAUACCGCAUACGUCCAGCGGGAGAAACAGGGGGGUGUUUGGACCUUACGCUCUCAGAUGAGCCUAGGUGGGAUUAGUUAGUUGGUGGGGUAAAGGCCUACCAAGGCGAGGAUCCGUAACUGGUCUGAGAGGAUGAUCAGUCACACGAGAACGGAAACACGGUCCAUACUCCUGCGGUAGGCAGCAGUGGGGAAUAGUGGACAGUGGGCGAAAGCCUGGUCCAGCCAUGGCGCGUGUGUGAAGAAGGUCUUCGGAUUGUAAAGCACGUUAAGUUGGGAGGAAGGGCAGUAAGUUAAGACCUUGCUGGUUUGACGUUACCAACAGAAUAAGCACCGGCUAACUUCGUG
This 484-nucleotide ribosomal RNA is filed under the name uncultured bacterium. RNAcentral's name for it is "partial 16S ribosomal RNA". It matches the Rfam family "Bacterial small subunit ribosomal RNA", at positions 30 to 507 of the family's 1533-position model. The record is from RNAcentral.